UAGGGAAUCUUCCGCAAUGGACGAAAGUCUGACGGAGCAACGCCGCGUGAGUGAUGAAGGUUCUCGGAUCGUAAAACUCUGUUGCCAGGGAAGAAAAGUAAGGAGAGUUACUGCUCCUUACGUGACGGUACCUGAGAAGAAAGCCCCGGCUAACUACGUGCCAGCAGCCGCGGUAAUACGUAGGGGGCAAGCGUUGUCCGGAAUUAUUGGGCGUAAAGCGCGCGCAGGCGGCCUGUUAAGUCUGGUGUUUAAUCCCGGGGCUCAACCCCGGUUCGCACUGGAAACUGGUAGGCUUGAGUGCAGAAGAGGAGAGUGGAAUUCCACGUGUAGCGGUGAAAUGCGUAGAUAUGUGGAGGAACACCAGUGGCGAAGGCGAUUCUCUGGUCUGUAACUGACGCUGAGGCGCGAAAGCGUGGGGAGCAAACAG
Molecule: ribosomal RNA, 427 nt
Filed under: uncultured bacterium
Lineage: Bacteria
Description: bacterial SSU rRNA
Rfam family: Bacterial small subunit ribosomal RNA
Source: RNAcentral